GGAGGGGUGGCCGAGUGGCUGAAGGCAGUGGUUUGCUAAAUCACCGUACGAUGUCAAGUCGUACCGCGGGUUCGAAUCCCGCCCCCUCCGCCA
This 93-nucleotide transfer RNA is filed under the name Ferrovibrio sp. RNAcentral describes it as "tRNA-Ser". It matches the Rfam family "tRNA". Rfam says of the family: Transfer RNA (tRNA) molecules are approximately 80 nucleotides in length. Their secondary structure includes four short double-helical elements and three loops (D, anti-codon, and T loops). Further hydrogen bonds mediate the characteristic L-shaped molecular structure. tRNAs have two regions of fundamental functional importance: the anti-codon, which is responsible for specific mRNA codon recognition, and the 3' end, to which the tRNAs corresponding amino acid is attached (by aminoacyl-tRNA synthetases). tRNAs cope with the degeneracy of the genetic code in two manners: having more than one tRNA (with a specific anti-codon) for a particular amino acid; and 'wobble' base-pairing, i.e. permitting non-standard base-pairing at the 3rd anti-codon position. The record is from RNAcentral. Lineage: Bacteria; Pseudomonadati; Pseudomonadota; Alphaproteobacteria; Rhodospirillales; Rhodospirillaceae. RNAcentral also lists the same sequence under 7 other names.